Molecule: ribosomal RNA, 458 nt
Filed under: uncultured bacterium
Lineage: Bacteria
Description: partial 16S ribosomal RNA
Rfam family: Bacterial small subunit ribosomal RNA
Source: RNAcentral
CCUACGGGUGGCAGCAGUGAGGAAUAUUGCUCAAUGGGCGAGAGCCUGAACCAGCCACGUCGCGUGAGGGAGUAAUGCCCUAUGGGUUGUAAACCUCUUUUGUCGGGGAGCAAAAGCCGGAUGUGUCCGGCUGUGAGAGUACCCGAAGAAAAAGCAUCAGCUAACCCCGUGCCAGCAGCCGCGGUAAUACGGGGGAUGAGUGCGUUAUCCGGGUUUAUUGGGUUUAAGGGGUGCGCAGGCGGAUUUUUAAGUCAGCGGUAAAAUCGUGGGGCUCAACCCCAUCCAGCCGUUGAAACUGGGGAUCUAGAGUGUUCGAGAGGUAUGCGGAAUGCGUGGUGUAGCGGUGAAAUGCAUAGAUAUCACGCAGAACCCCGAUUGCGAAGGCAGCAUACCGGUGAACAACUGACGCUCAGGCACGAAAGCGUGGGUAUCGAACAGGAUUAGAUACCCUUGUAGUC